ACGGAGUCGCCUGUUUACCAAAACAUCUACGUGAUCUGAGUUCAGACCGGAGUCGCCUGUUUACCAAAAACGUCCACUUGACAUUGACCUGGACGAACGGCACCACGAGGGUUUUACUGUCUCCCUCCCCCAAUCAAUGAAACUAAUCCCCCCGUGAAGAAGCGGGGAUAAACCUAUAAGACGAGAAGACCCCAUGGAGCUUAAAACCAAGUAUCACUUGCACGCUACAUAUACCCCCAAAGCCUCGCAAAUCUGUCUUACUGGUUUUUGGUUGGGACGACCAUGGGGUAAAGUAAAACCCCCAUGAUGAAAAGAACUAACCUCUUAAUCAAAGAACCACAACUCGCAGAAUCAACACAUUGACUAAAAUUGACCCAACACCUUGAGCAACGAACCAAGUUACCCUGGGGAUAACAGCGCAAUCCAUUUCAAGAGCCCCUAUCGACAAAUGGGUUUACGACCUCGAUGUUGGAUCAGGGUGUCCCAGUGGUGCAGCCGCUACUAAAGGUUCGUUUGUUCAACGAUGAAUA
Molecule: ribosomal RNA, 530 nt
Filed under: Cophixalus sp. 7741
Lineage: Eukaryota; Metazoa; Chordata; Amphibia; Anura; Microhylidae
Description: partial 16S ribosomal RNA
Rfam family: Bacterial large subunit ribosomal RNA
Source: RNAcentral